AUACGAAGGGUGCAAGCGUUACUCGGAAUUACUGGGCGUAAAGCGUGCGUAGGUGGUUGUUUAAGUCUGUCGUGAAAGCCCUGGGCUCAACCUGGGAAUGGCGAUGGAAACUGGGCGACUAGAGUGUGGCAGAGGGUAGUGGAAUUCCUGGUGUAGCAGUGAAAUGCGUAGAGAUCAGGAGGAACAUCCGUGGCGAAGGCGACUGCCUGGGCCAACACUGACACUGAGGCACGAAAGCGUGGGGAGCAAACAGGAUUAGAUGCCCUGGUAGUCCACGCCCUAAACGAUGCGAACUGGAUGUUGGGUGCAAUUUGGCACGCAGUAUCGAAGCUAACGCGUUAAGUUCGCCGCCUGGGGAGUACGGUCGCAAGACUGAAACUCAAAGGAAUUGACGGGG
This 397-nucleotide ribosomal RNA is filed under the name uncultured bacterium. Its description in RNAcentral is "partial 16S ribosomal RNA". It matches the Rfam family "Bacterial small subunit ribosomal RNA", at positions 523 to 918 of the family's 1533-position model. The record is from RNAcentral.